This 403-nucleotide ribosomal RNA is filed under the name uncultured bacterium. RNAcentral describes it as "bacterial SSU rRNA". It matches the Rfam family "Bacterial small subunit ribosomal RNA", at positions 355 to 774 of the family's 1533-position model. The record is from RNAcentral.
UAGGGAAUAUUGCAAAAUGGGCGAAAGCCCGAUGCAGCAACGCCGCGUGGGCGAUGAAGGCCUUCGGGUCGUAAAGCCCUUUUUGAGGGGAUGAGGAAGGACAGUACCCUCAGAAUAAGCCUCGGCUAACUACGUGCCAGCAGCCGCGGUAAAACGUAGGAGGCGAGCGUUAUCCGGAUUUACUGGGCGUAAAGCGCGUGCAGGCGGAUUGGAGAGUUGGAUGUGAAAGCUCCCGGCUUAACUGGGAGAGGUCGUUCAAUACGUCCAGUCUUGAGUGCAGUAGAGUGAAGUGGAAUUUCGGGUGUAGUGGUGAAAUGCGUAGAUAUCCGGAGGAACACCAGUGGCGAAAGCGGCUUCCUGGACUGUAACUGACGCUCAGACGCGAAAGCUAGGGUAGCAAACG